Homarus americanus (American lobster) is the source of this 390-nucleotide long non-coding RNA. RefSeq lists it as uncharacterized. The transcript is spliced from 3 exons. The record is from RefSeq and is a predicted model, not a curated record. NCBI's taxonomy places the organism in Eukaryota, Metazoa, Arthropoda, Malacostraca, Decapoda, Nephropidae.
GGAGAGAAACAGCCGCAGCGCCACUCUACAUCCGCCCGUCGUCGCAGCCACAACACCUGACUGCUCUGCUCCUCCUCUCCUCCAUAUAAUGACUAAGUUUCUUUUGGUGGUCGUGGUGGCCCUCAUGGUCCUGGGUAUGGUCCAGGCUGUACCCGGAGGCUCUCAUGGGUACGGCGGGUACAGCGGGGGGUACUAUCCGGGUCCACGGUACAAUGGCGGGUACACUGGCGGGUUCGGAGGCGCCUAUACCGGGUUCGGACACGGUACUGGUGGAGGCGGUACUGCAGGGUACAACAGUUACGGUAUCGGGCGGUAAGGAUGAUCAACGGCACUACAUCACCACCUGCUUAUAAGGAACUGAUAAUAAUAAUAAACGCUUUACAUAAUAGA